UACGUAGGGUCCGAGCGUUGUCCGGAAUUAUUGGGCGUAAAGAGCUCGUAGGCGGUUUGUCGCGUCUGCUGUGAAAUCCCGAGGCUCAACCUCGGGUCUGCAGUGGGUACGGGCAGACUGGAGUGCGGUAGGGGAGAAUGGAAUUCCUGGUGUAGCGGUGGAAUGCGCAGAUAUCAGGAGGAACACCGGUGGCGAAGGCGGCAUCCUGGACCAAUAUUGACGCUGAGGAGCGAAAGCCAGGGGAGCAAACGGG
This 253-nucleotide ribosomal RNA is filed under the name uncultured bacterium. Its description in RNAcentral is "partial 16S ribosomal RNA". It matches the Rfam family "Bacterial small subunit ribosomal RNA", at positions 524 to 776 of the family's 1533-position model. The record is from RNAcentral.